CCUCUUCCUUUUGGUCAAUGAAAGAAGGUGGAGUGAAGAAAGGUGAGAGUAAGGAGAGGAAAUAUAAGAUGUUUUUGUUCUGAUUUCAGGUAUAGAGGAACCUAGGGACAGAGGGACUCCAGAUUUUUAGCCAUGUGGAUACCUAGACCGAGGAAACCUCUUGCUGGAAUUUGGUUCCUUUUUGAUGUGGAAGGAGCCCAUAAUUCCCAGCUCUCUGGGGGUGUGGGAAGGCAGCUGACCUGUGAGUCAGUGGGCCAGUCAUGCAUCUAUCAUAGCAGGGGGCAGAGCUGGAGGUGGGUUCCCUAAGCUCGGGGACUCAAUAGAGGAAGUGACAGGUAUUGAGGGAGU
Molecule: long non-coding RNA, 348 nt
Filed under: Homo sapiens (human)
Lineage: Eukaryota; Metazoa; Chordata; Mammalia; Primates; Hominidae
Description: HSALNT0119870
Source: RNAcentral